CCUACGGGAGGCAGCAGUAGGGAAUUUUCGUCAAUGGGCGCAAGCCUGAACGAGCGAUGCCGCGUGAGUGAAGAAGGCCUUCGGGUCGUAAAGCUCUGUUGCGGGGGAAAAAAGGCAGCAUCAGGAAAUGGGUGCUGACUGAUGGUGCCCCGCCAGAAAGUCACGGCUAACUACGUGCCAGCAGCAGCGGGAAUACGUAGGUGGCGAGCGUUAUCCGGAAGGAUUGGGCGUAAAGGGUGCGCAGGCGGUCCUGCAAGUCUGGAGUGAAACGCAUGAGCUCAACUCAUGCAUGGCUUUGGAAACUGGAGGACUGGAGAGCAGGAGAGGGCGGUGGAACUCCAUGUGUAGCGGUAAAAUGCGUAGAUAUAUGGAAGAACACCAGUGGCGAAGGCGGCCGCCUGGCCUGUUGCUGACGCUGAGGCACGAAAGCGUGGGGAGCAAAUAGGAUUAGAUACCCUAGUAGUC
This 465-nucleotide ribosomal RNA is filed under the name uncultured bacterium. RNAcentral's name for it is "partial 16S ribosomal RNA". It matches the Rfam family "Bacterial small subunit ribosomal RNA", at positions 338 to 795 of the family's 1533-position model. The record is from RNAcentral.